AUGCAAGUCGAACGCGCGGAUCAGGAGCUUGCUCCUGUGACGCGAGUGGCGGACGGGUGAGUAACACGUAGGCAACCUGCCCAUCAGACUGGGAUAACCACGGGAAACCGUGGCUAAUACCGGAUAAUCCUUUUCCACACAGGUGGAAAAGUUGAAAGGCGGCUUCGGCUGUCACUGAUGGAUGGGCCUGCGGCGCAUUAGCUGGUUGGUGGGGUAACGGCCCACCAAGGCGACGAUGCGUAGCCGACCUGAGAGGGUGAUCGGCCACACUGGGACUGAGACACGGCCCAGACUCCUACGGGAGGCAGCAGUAGGGAAUCUUCCGCAAUGGACGAAAGUCUGACGGAGCAACGCCGCGUGAGUGAAGAAGGGUUUCGGCUCGUAAAACUCUGUUGUCAGGGAAGAACGCCGACGGGAGUAACUGCCCGUCGGGUGACGGUACCUGACCAGAAAGCCACGGCUAACUACGUGCCAGCAGCCGCGGUAAUACGUAGGUGGCAAGCGUUAUCCGGAAUUAUUGGGCGUAAAGCGCGCGUAGGCGGUUCGUUAAGUCUGAUGUGAAAGCCCCCGGCUCAACCGGGGAGGGUCAUUGGAAACUGGCGGACUUGAGUGCAGAAGAGGAGAGUGGAAUUCCAUGUGUAGCGGUGAAAUGCGCA
Molecule: ribosomal RNA, 656 nt
Filed under: bacterium SCSIO13090
Lineage: Bacteria
Description: bacterial SSU rRNA
Rfam family: Bacterial small subunit ribosomal RNA
Source: RNAcentral